RNAcentral lists this transfer RNA (82 nucleotides) under Ixodes scapularis (black-legged tick). RNAcentral's name for it is "tRNA-Asn". It matches the Rfam family "tRNA". From Rfam's summary of the family: Transfer RNA (tRNA) molecules are approximately 80 nucleotides in length. Their secondary structure includes four short double-helical elements and three loops (D, anti-codon, and T loops). Lineage: Eukaryota; Metazoa; Arthropoda; Arachnida; Ixodida; Ixodidae. The record is from RNAcentral.
GCAGUCGUGGCCGAGUGGUUAAUGCGAUGGACUAUUAAUCCAUUGUGGUCUCCCCGCACAGGUUCGAAUCCUGUCGACUGCG